CCGGACGGCGACCGGCGCACGGGUGAGUAACACGUAUGCGGACCUGCCCGUAGCAGGGGGAUAAGCGGAAGAAAUUCCGUCUAAUACCGCGUAAUAUCUUUCGGGGGCAUUCCUGGGGGAUUAAAGGAAGCGAUUCCGGCUACGGAUGGGCAUGCGGCGCAUUAGCUAGUCGGCGGGGUAACGGCCCACCGAGGCGACGAUGCGUAGGGGUUCUGAGAGGAAGGUCCCCCACACUGGUACUGAGACACGGACCAGACUCCUACGGAAGGCAGCAG
This 275-nucleotide ribosomal RNA is filed under the name uncultured bacterium. RNAcentral describes it as "partial 16S ribosomal RNA". It matches the Rfam family "Bacterial small subunit ribosomal RNA", at positions 84 to 354 of the family's 1533-position model. The record is from RNAcentral.